This 736-nucleotide ribosomal RNA is filed under the name Salmonella enterica. RNAcentral describes it as "partial 23S ribosomal RNA". It matches the Rfam family "Bacterial large subunit ribosomal RNA", at positions 1 to 777 of the family's 2925-position model. Lineage: Bacteria; Pseudomonadati; Pseudomonadota; Gammaproteobacteria; Enterobacterales; Enterobacteriaceae. The record is from RNAcentral.
GGUUAAGCGACUAAGCGUACACGGUGGAUGCCCUGGCAGUCAGAGGCGAUGAAGGACGUGCUAAUCUGCGAUAAGCGCCGGUAAGGUGAUAUGAACCGUUAUAACCGGCGAUUUCCGAAUGGGGAAACCCAGUGUGACUCGUCACACUAUCAUUAACUGAAUCCAUAGGUUAAUGAGGCGAACCGGGGGAACUGAAACAUCUAAGUACCCCGAGGAAAAGAAAUCAACCGAGAUUCCCCCAGUAGCGGCGAGCGAACGGGGAGGAGCCCAGAGCCUGAAUCAGCAUGUGUGUUAGUGGAAGCGUCUGGAAAGGCGCGCGAUACAGGGUGACAGCCCCGUACACAAAAGCGCAUGUGCUGUGAGCUCGAUGAGUAGGGCGGGACACGUGGUAUCCUGUCUGAAUAUGGGGGGACCAUCCUCCAAGGCUAAAUACUCCUGACUGACCGAUAGUGAACCAGUACCGUGAGGGAAAGGCGAAAAGAACCCCGGCGAGGGGAGUGAAAAAGAACCUGAAACCGUGUACGUACAAGCAGUGGGAGCACAGGUUUACCUGUGUGACUGCGUACCUUUUGUAUAAUGGGUCAGCGACUUAUAUUCUGUAGCAAGGUUAACCGUAUAGGGGAGCCGUAGGGAAACCGAGUCUUAACCGGGCGUUAAGUUGCAGGGUAUAGACCCGAAACCCGGUGAUCUAGCCAUGGGCAGGUUGAAGGUUGGGUAACACUAACUGGAGGACCGA